UAAGACGAACCGUGCGAACGUUGUUCGGAAUCACUGGGCUUAAAGGGCGCGUAGGCGGGCGAUAAAGUCAGGGGUGAAAUCUUUCGGCUUAACUGGAAAAUGGCCCCUGAUACUGUUUGUCUCGAGGGAGGUAGGGGUCUGUGGAACUUCUGGUGGAGCGGUGAAAUGCGUUGAUAUCAGAAGGAACGCCGGUGGCG
Molecule: ribosomal RNA, 197 nt
Filed under: uncultured bacterium
Lineage: Bacteria
Description: partial 16S ribosomal RNA
Rfam family: Bacterial small subunit ribosomal RNA
Source: RNAcentral